This is a long non-coding RNA of Alnus glutinosa, 957 nucleotides long. RefSeq lists it as uncharacterized. The transcript has 3 exons. Lineage: Eukaryota; Viridiplantae; Streptophyta; Magnoliopsida; Fagales; Betulaceae. The record is from RefSeq and is a predicted model, not a curated record.
UCUCUGUUUUUCUGCAUCUCCCUCAAGCUCUCCCUCUCUAUUGUAGCAACAAAAUUAAGCUACAAAAGCUUUUCGCCUUCCUUGUCUCUCUUUUAAAACCAGAAACUUUGACUGACUAGAACUGAACCAUAACGAACCCGGAUUUAGUCGAACCAAAAAGAGAAAGUGUUUGUCUUGAAGUCUUCUAUCUAUCCUCAAAAUUUCACAUCAAUCAGAGUAGGUUUGACUAUCAAAAAAUAGGUCGGAGUAAGCUGCCCUCCAUUUGGACGGAAAUCCUGAAUUCAAAUAGAUAAUGAAAUGUCUUUUUGAUUUAUUGCAAAGCUAAGAGAUUGCGGAGAAUAACUGUUACGAAGAAGUGGAGUAUCAGGAUUGUCCAGAUUUUUAAAGUAGAGUAGCCAAUCACGAAGCUUGUAGUUGGCCAUGGAUUUAGGCUUGGUUACCAACUUCUGAGCUAAGGAUAUUAUGUAGGGAUCCACCUUAUUGAUUUGCUUCAAUUCUUCCCAUAUGCCAAAUUGUGGCCCUGAAAUGCCAUUGAGUCAGCUGGUUGUAGCAGAGAGAAGUAUGGGGCUAUGGGGCAUUCUUAACAAUGCGUCAGCUGCUGUAUUGGAACGGCUUGGGCGAUAGACAAUUUUAUAUUCAAAACCUACCGGUUUGGAGACCCAUUUCUGCUGCUCGGGGGUAACUAUGCGCUGCUCUAGCAGAAAUUUGAGACUUUUCUGGUUAGUUCGGAUUUGGAACCUCUGACCUAGCAAAUAUGGUUGCCAUGUUUUGACUGCCUCCAUGAUCACAAGCAUUUCUUUGGAGUAUACUGACCACACAUUUUUAGAGGGUCUAAGGGCCUUACUUAAGUAAGCAAUGGGUCGUCCUUGUUGACUCAAUAUCACACUGUUCCCAUAAUCUGAAGCGUCUGUCUCUACAAUAAAAAUGUUAGAAAAAUCUAGUGGAGCUAAGAUAGGA